UCCGGUUUGGCACCGGCAGUCCCCCGAGAGUCCUCAGCGUUUUGCAACCUGUUAGCAACACGGGGCGGGGGUUGCGCUCGUUGCGGGACUUAACCCAACAUCUCACGACACGAGCUGACGACAGCCAUGCAGCACCUGUGCAGGAGCUCCGAAGAGGGGCUCUCGUUUCUGAGAGCUUGCUCCUGCAUGUCAAGCCUAGGUAAGGUUCUUCGCGUUGCGUCGAAUUAAACCACAUGCUCCACCGCUAGUGCGGGCCCCCGUCAAUUCCUUUGAGUUUCAGCCUUGCGGCCGUACUCCCCAGGCGGGGCACUUAAUGCGUUAGCGCCGGCACUCAGAGGGUCGCUCCCCCAAGCACCUAGUGCCCAUCGUUUACGGCGUGGACUAC
RNAcentral lists this unclassified non-coding RNA (385 nucleotides) under uncultured Gemmatimonadaceae bacterium. Its description in RNAcentral is "contains 16S-23S intergenic spacer region". Lineage: Bacteria; Pseudomonadati; Gemmatimonadota; Gemmatimonadia; Gemmatimonadales; Gemmatimonadaceae. The record is from RNAcentral.